AUGUCAGCCAAUCCGGCACCGGACUCGUUAGCUAGGAUGAGGGCUGAUGCAGUGCCAAUUCCACAGUCUCAUGAGGAUUCGGAGGACGUAUUUGUCACGAACUCCGAGGUGGAGAGCGUAAUGAAUCACUGUCAGCUAAAAGAAGCCAUGCGCGCUCUAGCCUUUUCCGAGCAAGAAUUUACCGCACUUAGUUUGGUGGAUACAUAUAUCCGAGCCGCUCGAGAUGGACUUGGCCGAGUCACUCAACUGUUUUCAAACGAUAUACAGGUUCUCAAAGAGAAGAACACUGCGCUAGCCCAAGAGCUGAAAAGAAACCAAACGCAGCUGAAUGCCGUCGCCGCCGAACUGGGGAAAAUGAAAAAGGCCGCAAUGAACACAUCCAAGGGGAAAAACACGAGGAGGAAAAGACAAACAAGCCGAAGAGAUAGAGAGCUUAAAAGCUCGUUUAUCGGCCGCUCAAAAAGAAAAUAA
This 471-nucleotide ribosomal RNA is filed under the name Triticum aestivum (bread wheat). RNAcentral's name for it is "partial small subunit ribosomal RNA". The record is from RNAcentral. Lineage: Eukaryota; Viridiplantae; Streptophyta; Magnoliopsida; Poales; Poaceae.